RNAcentral lists this ribosomal RNA (315 nucleotides) under Triticum aestivum (bread wheat). Its description in RNAcentral is "partial small subunit ribosomal RNA". The record is from RNAcentral. Lineage: Eukaryota; Viridiplantae; Streptophyta; Magnoliopsida; Poales; Poaceae.
AUGGUCACACAAGUGAGGAGUUUUCUUGGCCUCGCUGGAUUCCAUAAGCGUUUUGUGAGAGAUUUCAGCACCAUUGAUGCACCUCUCAAUGAGCUUACAAAUAAGGACGUGCCUUUUGUUUGGGGUACCGCACAGGAAGAAGCCUUCACAGUAUUGAAAAAUAAGUUGACAGAUGCUUCUUUAAUCCAACUUAUUGAUUUUAAUAAGACUUUUGAGCUUGAAUGUGAUGCUAGUGGAAUUGGAUUAGGAGGUGUGUUAUUACAAGAUGGCAAACCUGUUGCAUACUUUUCUGAAAAAUUGAGUGGGCCUAUUUGA